Molecule: ribosomal RNA, 930 nt
Filed under: Triticum aestivum (bread wheat)
Lineage: Eukaryota; Viridiplantae; Streptophyta; Magnoliopsida; Poales; Poaceae
Description: partial small subunit ribosomal RNA
Source: RNAcentral
AUGUCGCCCGCAGCCGCAUCCAUGGGCUCCGCAGAACGAUCGACGGAGUCGCAGCAAACGGUAUACGGUACCGCUGUCACCGUGGAAAACGGGCAGGAGAUGCAGGAGCCGGCGGAGCAGGAGACCUGCAGGAGACAGGCUAAUCUUGAAGGCUUGCAGCUGGGAUACAGUGUGGUUCCUAGCGAGAAGAGGUUCAUGGUUCUACACGCUUUCCUGAAGAGGAAACAGUCUAGCAAGAAGGUCAUGGUGCUGUUCUCAUCGCGCAGUUCAGUCAAGUUCCACGCGCACCUUCUGAAUUUUCUUCAGAUAGAGUGUGCUGAUAUCCACGAGAAACAAGAGCAGCACGACCGAACCGCAACGUUCUCCGCCUUCUGCACGGCAGAGAAGGGUGUCUUGUUAUGCACUAAUGUGGCAGCACGUGGACUUGAUCUUCCUGAUGUGGAUUAUAUUGUGCAAUACGAUCCUCCGUCAGAUGAACCAGAGGAUUACAUUCAUCAUGUUGGACAUACUGCACCUGGUGAUAAAGGAAAAGCAACUGUAUUGUUAUUCUUACUGCCCCAAGAAUUAGAGUUCCUUAUCUCCCUGAGGGCAGCCAACAUUCAUCUCACAGAACACCAGUUUAACAACAAGAAUGUGCCAAAUCUGCAAGCACAUUUUGAGAAAAUCGUUGGCGAGAACUACUUCCUGCAUCAGUCAGCUCAACAAGCCUACAGAUCCUACAUUCUAGCAUACAACUCACACACCAUGAAAGACAUCUUUAAUGUUCAUGGUCUCAGUUUGAAGGACGUAGCUGCAUCAUUCUGCUUUAGGAACCCUCCAAAAGUGGAUAUUGGCCUGGAGGGCAGAGCUAUGAAGAAAGUAGGUUAUAACAGGGGCGUUGAUUCGAGAGAGAGGCGAAAGAGGCGUCGCAUCAGUGCUGCAGAUCCUUAA